GCGGCAAAGUUAUUAUUAUUAUUUUGUGUCAAUUUUUAUUGAUAUUUCUGCCAUUUUUGCAAGAGUUAUAUCCCUUUUCAAUGCAAAUCUCCAUAGGAAUUUUAUAUGGUGAUUUUUUUAGUCUUCCUCCAGUAAGAUUUUAUGGGACUUUUUUCUGUGUAUAUUUGGGGUAUAAUGCUAAAGAUUAAACCUUAAAAAUCUUCUGUUGCAAUUACUUUCAGGUUAGGGUCAAAUUUAUGCUAGAUUGACUGGACUAAAUAAGCCUUUUUUUAGUUAUGUGUAUAUGCACCCCCUAAUGUGGUUAGAUAUUUGUUAUUUAAGCUUCCUCUAAUGAAUAAAUUUUACAAGAUAUAUUUGUUUAUAUGGCAGAGAUAAUAAUGACAGCCAAAAUUUGGUGGUCAU
This 402-nucleotide long non-coding RNA is filed under the name Mytilus galloprovincialis (Mediterranean mussel). Lineage: Eukaryota; Metazoa; Mollusca; Bivalvia; Mytilida; Mytilidae. The record is from RNAcentral.